RNAcentral lists this ribosomal RNA (465 nucleotides) under uncultured bacterium. RNAcentral's name for it is "partial 16S ribosomal RNA". It matches the Rfam family "Bacterial small subunit ribosomal RNA", at positions 338 to 795 of the family's 1533-position model. The record is from RNAcentral.
CCUACGGGUGGCAGCAGUGGGGAAUAUUGCGCAAUGGGCGAAAGCCUGACGCAGCGACGCCGCGUGAGGGAUGAAGGUCUUCGGAUCGUAAACCUCUGUCAGCAGGGAAGAACGGUCACUGUGCUAAUCAGCAGUGAAUUGACGGUACCUGCAAAGGAAGCACCGGCUAACUCCGUGCCAGCAGCCGCGGUAAUACGGAGGGUGCGAGCGUUAAUCGGAAUUGCUGGGCGUAAAGCGCGCGUAGGCGGUAUGUCAAGUCAAGGGGGAAAUCCCCGCGCUCAACGUGGGAACUGCCUUUGAAACUGGCAAACUGGAGUGGGUGAGAGGAUAGUGGAAUUCCAGGUGUAGGAGUGAAAUCCGUAGAUAUCUGGAGGAACAUCAGUGGCGAAGGCGGCCUGCUGGGCUUUUACUGACGCUGAGGCUCGAAAGUGUGGGGAGCAAACAGGAUUAGAUACCCCUGUAGUC